Molecule: non-coding RNA, 26 nt
Filed under: Mus musculus (house mouse)
Lineage: Eukaryota; Metazoa; Chordata; Mammalia; Rodentia; Muridae
Source: RNAcentral
UGCCAGGAUAGCUGUGAUAAUGGCUG